GAACGGCCGGUCCGGUCUGGUUUCCAAACGUUGAAGUAACUGCUUCACGAUCUUCACGCUUGGUUCCACCACCCUUGUGCCUCCAGAAUCCGAGGUCGUCACCGCCCUAAACUGUUGCUGCAAAAGAUGUGGUGAGGAAGGUACUAUCGGAGCCAAUUCGUCCUCAGUUUGCCAUUGCUUCUGUUGAUCCUUGGUAUUACCACCACCGUCUAGAGGCUCACAAACUGAUUAGUACAAAACUGGGAUCCAAAGUUCCGGUUAUUACUAUUCUUUCCAAAACAAAUAUGGGAAGGGAUGCGAUUUUCAAUGAAUCCGAAGAGGUUUAUCCUUACAAAAUUUUCUUUUUUCUUUCUUUUUACUCCGAGAGGAUUAAUAGUCUAGAGUAAGGUUAUUCUACAAGUGGAAUUAAUUAACAUACAAAAAACCCUUAACAUGAGAAGUGAAGGGGGAAAUUUUUCUUUGAAAUUUAUUUCCAAUUCUAUUAAUCACGUAUUUUAGU
Molecule: long non-coding RNA, 499 nt
Organism: Helianthus annuus (common sunflower)
Lineage: Eukaryota; Viridiplantae; Streptophyta; Magnoliopsida; Asterales; Asteraceae
Exons: 3
Source: RefSeq, a predicted model, not a curated record